UAAACUGCUGCUCUCUGACAGAUGUGCGAUUCGAGGUGCACCAACGUGCCGCAUCCUGGGCCGGCUGUGCACAGGGACCAGGCUGGGGACUCCGCUCACUCCAGGCCGGUGAUGCUCUGCAGGCACGCGGCAGGCAAAGGCCUUGUCUCCAUCUCUGAGCUGGGGACGUAGGGUCUGCACAGAGAUUUGCCUUCUCACAAAGCCGGUGUCAGCAAAGAAACAAAAUCCCAGUGUUUUAACGACACAAGCCUCGGUUUUGCAAAGCAGCAGAGCAGCUGUUUCGAAUUUUUCCACAGCGAGCCUCUUCACUGGGUAUGUGCUGCAGGAGGGCAAGGCUCAAGAGUUCCUUAGGGACACUUUCAUGAACAUACUGAUGGGCUCUGUUUAAAGGAAAAAGUUGUUCUUGGAAGUUCUUCAAUUAAUCCAAGUAGCCAGACCUCUACGGACAUUGGUGGACAUGGACAAGUCGCCACAUCUGAAGAUAAAAUACUAGAGGCUCCAUCCUGCUGACACAGAAGACAAUGAUAUACUUUGCAUUCCUCUGAUAUGUGGAAAUGUGUCUGAAUGUCCUCACUAUUGGGGCAUUUUGGGGCAGCUACCAGGUUUCACAGAACUGUCAGCACUAGGGAAUCUCAGAUUGGACAUUCAUUGAAAACAGG
Molecule: long non-coding RNA, 659 nt
Organism: Athene cunicularia (burrowing owl)
Lineage: Eukaryota; Metazoa; Chordata; Aves; Strigiformes; Strigidae
Exons: 5
Source: RefSeq, a predicted model, not a curated record